AGGCAUGCAAGUCGUGCGAGAAGUCCCCUUCGGGGGAUGGACAGCGGCGAAAGGGAGAGUAAUACGUAGAAAUCUGCCCCCUGGUCUGGGAUAGCGUCGGGAAACUGGCGGUAAUACCGGAUAAAGUCUUCGGACCAAAGGUGAGAUUCCGCCGGGGGAUGAGUCUACGACCUAUUAGCUAGUUGGCGGGGUAAUGGCCCACCAAGGCAAUGAUGGGUAGCGGGUGUGAGAGCAUGACCC
This 240-nucleotide ribosomal RNA is filed under the name uncultured Planctomycetota bacterium. RNAcentral describes it as "uncultured planctomycete partial 16S ribosomal RNA". It matches the Rfam family "Bacterial small subunit ribosomal RNA", at positions 51 to 306 of the family's 1533-position model. Lineage: Bacteria; Pseudomonadati; Planctomycetota. The record is from RNAcentral.